This 417-nucleotide ribosomal RNA is filed under the name uncultured bacterium. RNAcentral describes it as "bacterial SSU rRNA". It matches the Rfam family "Bacterial small subunit ribosomal RNA", at positions 355 to 786 of the family's 1533-position model. The record is from RNAcentral.
UCGGGAAUAUUGCGCAAUGGAGGAAACUCUGACGCAGUGACGCCGCGUAUAGGAAGAAGGUUUUCGGAUUGUAAACUAUUGUCGUUAGGGAAGAGAAAGGACAGUACCUAAGGAGGAAGCUCCGGCUAAACUACGUGCCAGCAGCCGCGGUAAUACGUAGGGAGCGAGCGUUAUCCGGAAUUAUUGGGUGUAAAGGGUGCGUAGACGGGAGAACAAGUUAGUUGUGAAAUACCUCGGCUCAACUGAGGAACUGCAACUAAAACUGUACUUCUUGAGUGCAGGAGAGGUAAGUGGAAUUCCUAGUGUAGCGGUGAAAUGCGUAGAUAUUAGGAGGAACACCAGUGGCGAAGGCGACUUACUGGACUGUAACUGACGUUGAGGCACGAAAAGUGUGGGGAGCAAACAGGAUUAGAUACC